This is a long non-coding RNA of Neltuma alba, 852 nucleotides long. RefSeq lists it as uncharacterized. The transcript has 2 exons. The record is from RefSeq and is a predicted model, not a curated record. NCBI's taxonomy places the organism in Eukaryota, Viridiplantae, Streptophyta, Magnoliopsida, Fabales, Fabaceae.
AUUUGGUUACAUCGUAAAUUACCACAAUUUCACAGGGUAUGCUAUUCGGAUGAAAAAUUAUUGGAAGAAUUGGCAUUUAAGGGGAAUGGCAUCUCUUCCAGUAAGGCAAAGAUCGGAGCAUUGGUUUAGCCUCGUGAUUUUACAUUUUUUCUAUAAGAAAUGGUUAGUUUUUGGCAGUGUUGAAUGUUGAGCAGCAUACUACCAAUUUCAUGCUGUGAGAAUAUUUAUAAUAUAAUAUAACGUUUUCAUAUGACAAAUGUGGAGUUUUAAGUUUAUAGGAAGAUGCUUUUCCGGAGAAAUUUGUCCGACUGUGAUGUUACUGCAUUAGUAAUUAUUGGCCGCUUUUCUUUCAAUUUUAACUGCCAUUUUUCAGGGCACCUCUGUUAGUUCCAAUUUGUUCAUCCUUUUGGGGAGUUGAUAAUUAUGUGCCGCAUUCCCAGAUUUCCCAUGAUUGGUCACGAACAGACUUGGGGGGUUUAUUCUGAUUAGAUUUGGAGGGCACUGCUGUAUCACCUUUUGAAAAACCACAUUUUACAUCCCACAGCUAAAAGCAUAAUUACACAAUUGGCACACGAACUUGCUCGGAUGAUGCAUUUCCGCGAAAUCUAGUUUCCCUUGAAUAUUUUAGUUUCUAUCACUUGUGAGCUUGUUUUGUUUGCCUUUUGCCAUAUGCGAGACAUUAAGUUGCGCGGUAACUAGAAUAUAUGCCUGUCCACGCGCGCGCGCACGCAUCUCAGAUUGCGAUGAUAAAUAGCACCGUGCGCCAGUAAAACAAGGUGGAGUCGUAUUUGCUUUGCAAAAUAAAAGUACUGAAAUAGUAAAACGUACAUCUGAGUCUGGUAUUUAAUGCAG